RNAcentral lists this long non-coding RNA (4045 nucleotides) under Sus scrofa (pig). RNAcentral describes it as "lncRNA (ENSSSCG00065053309.1)". The record is from RNAcentral. Lineage: Eukaryota; Metazoa; Chordata; Mammalia; Artiodactyla; Suidae.
UCGCUGUGCAGAACAGGACAGUAGAAAUUGGUCUUUCGGGUCCUGCGUGAAGGGGGGUAUUUGAAAACACAAGCCAGCUUUCGUGUGUGUUUGUGAUGUGAACUUAUACCAGUUGUAUGGUUUGAAAAACCACAAACUGGGGUUUUAAUUUUACUUGGUUUCAGGCUGUUGGUGAGUUGUCAGAAGAGAAAGCAGAUCCUUGAUGGAGGAACUGACCUUCCGCCGAGGCCUCAGGAAUUCCUACAGAGAAAUCGUCUUACGUGUGUGUGUGCACGCCGAGGCCGAGACAGAGACAUUCACUCAGCACGGUUUUCAAAAAAGAAAACGCCGAAGCACCUCAAGGUCACUCGGCAGAGGGGCGUGAAGAGCGACUGCCGAUUUCACAUGAGACCAGGCUACACGUGGACUGGCGUGGCGCAGUGGGCCGGGGCUGCGCUAAGCCGCAACGCUCGGACCCGGUCCAAGAGCCCCGCGCUGACCUGCUGAGUGACUUCACCUUCUGGGCCUCGGUUUCCUCACCUGCACGUGGAAGGACCUGGACUCAUUUUCUCUCUACUCUCAAGUUCAGUCAGGAGGUGAGUCUGCAAGAAGUUUAAUGGGCUUUGAGAGCUGCUGAAGAUAAAAACUCUAUUUCUCUGCUUCCUUGUGUGUUCCGCAAAGAGAAACGGAAUCAUUUACAGAAAAGCAGCUGCAGACCUCCUCCUCACCCCGGAGGAGAGGGGACAUGACCCCCUCAGUCUAAGGCUGGACGUGACUGUUUCUCUCCCACUGUAGGAAGUCUCAGCUUCCACUUUCAGAAAACACCUGUUCACCAGAACAGUCGAUUGACCAAAAACACCAUUCACAUCUUUUUUUUUUACCAUUUCUUGGGCCGCUCCCGCGGUGUAUGGAGGUUCCCAGGCUAGGGGUCCAAUCGGAGCUAUAGUCUCCGGCCUACGCCAGAGCCACAGCAACUCGGGGUCCGAGCCAUGUCUGCGACGUACACCCCAGCUCACGGCAACGCCGGAUCCCUAACCCUCUGAGCAAGGGCAGGGAUCGAACCCGCAACCUCAUGGUUCCUAGUCGGAUUCGUUAACCACUGCGCCACGACGGGAACCCCAAUUCACAUCUUGAUUUAGGAUUUGUCAGGUACUUUCCCCCUGUCACUAGGAGGAGCCCCCAACUGUGUGUGUGUGGGGGGGUUGCCGUCACUGGCCUUACUUUGCUAUGAGGACAAGGGGCUGAGAAAAGCCGCCCCCUGCCCCCGAGGUUAGCCUAACUCAGCCUAACCUGUACAAGGUCGGCUAGUCCCGACCUCAUAUCUCAGUGGAUUUCGGGCCCGCCCUCUGCCUCCAGUAAACAGCUUAAAACUGUAAGGGUGAAACAGAGGCCUGACAUUUCCUGACAGGCACCACAGGAACCGUGCCCCAACAGCGCUGCUUCUCCGGGAGGAAAUGCAGGUGCUGCCGGGCUCAGUAGCAGGCAACAGGUCUUUCAUUCAGGUAGAAGCCCAGCAUGGAAGACCCCAGGCUCCGACUACCCUGCACCCCGGGCUCCUGUUCCCGCUCUGAUCCCGGACCAGGGAAGUUUCUCAGUCGUAAACUGAGCAGUGGGGACAGUGACAGGAUCACCGUGGCACCUGCAGGUCCCCUGGUGCAGGAUGGAGAUCCGAGGAUACGGGAGGAUAAAGCAAGCCCAGGAGGGAUGUGAGGUCUGAGACUCUGGUCCCGGGAGCACUAACAUCUUUAAGGUACGGUUGUUAUAGAGUUAACACGAGUUCUCUGGUGGUCGAAUGGCUAAGCAGUUGUCACUCCUGCGGCGAGAGUUCAAUCCCUGGCCCAGGAACUUCUGCCCGCUGCAGGCUCGGCAAAAAAAAGGAUUUAGCGUAAGUGUACAGACACCUAACCCAGUGCUAGCACACAGCAGGCAGUAUACAAUGGCUGUUAAACUGUCAGCAAGGCUGACUCACUUUAUUUAAAGUGGACUUGCUUAAACAUAAGCAUCUUCUUUUUUUUUUCUUGCUUUUUAGGGCCACACCCACGGCAUGUGGAGGUUCCCAGGCUAGGGGUUGAAUCGGAGCUGCAGCUGCCACAGCUGCCACAGCAACAUCAGAUCCUUAACCCACUGAGAGAGGCCAGUGACCAAACCUGUGUCCUCAUGGAUACUAGUCAGGUUCAUUACUGCUGAGCCACAGUGGGAACUCUCAGCAUUUUCUAAUUUAAGAGGAACACUGGUUUAACAAAGCAUUUAAUUGUACAAAUCAAGAUUUAACCUGUUACUCAGUUUGCAGUGACUUCUCAUGGAGGUUUUAAGCUGGGAAAGUAUCAACCCCAUUUUUUUAAAAAAAUAAAAUCAGGUUAGGAGUUCCCGUCGUGGGACAGUGGUUAACGAAUCCGACUAGGAACCAUGAGGUUGCGGGUUCGGUCCCUGCCCUUGCUCAGUGGGUUAAGGAUCCGGCGUUGCCCUGAGCUGUGGUGUAGGUCGCAGAUGCGGCUCGGAUCCCACAUUGCUGCGGCUCUGGGGUAGGCCGGCGGCUACAGCUCCGAUUCGACCCCCAGCCUGGGAACCUCCAUAUGCCGCAGGUGUGGCCCUAAACAGACCAAAACAACACCCAAAAACAAAAAACCCAAAGCAAGGAUUCUCUGGUGGCUUAGUGAUUAAGAGUUUGGCACUGUCGCUUCUGUAGCUCAGGUUCGAUCCCUGGCCCAGGAACUUCUGCAUUCCAGGGGUAUGGCCAAACACACACACACACACACACACACACACACACUACAUUAGAUAGCUUUUCACUAAUCUGUUACCAAAAGAAUUCAACCUCAUUUUCAGCACUCCCCCAGGGUUACCUGCAAUUUUAUCUAAUCACAAUCUAAAGCCUAAUUCUUGAUGUUCUAAGUGCUUAUCUGUGAUUUUUUAUCCAGUGUCCACAGGAAUUAACAAAGGUGGUUGCAAAGACUGCCAAAUCCAACAAAGUCUGCCUCCUAAACUCCACAUUUUAUUUUAUUUUAUUUUAUUUUUUUUGGUCUUUUUGUCUUUUUUUGUUGUUGUUGUUGUUGUUGUUGUUGUUGUUGCUAUCUCUUGGGCCGCUUCCGUGGCAUAUGGAGGUUCCCAGGCUAGGGGUUGAGUCAGAGCUGUAGCUGCUGGCCUGCACCACAGCCACAGCAAUGCCAGAUCUGAGACGCGUCUGUGACCUACACCACAGCUCACGGCAACGCCGGAUCGUUAACCCAUUGAGCAAGGGCAGGGACCGACCCCGCGACCUCAUGGUUCCUAGCCGGAUUCGCUAACCACUGCGCCACGACGGGAACUCCUUUUUUUUUUUUUUUUGGUCUUUUUGUCUUUUUUUGUUGUUGUUGUUGUUGUUGCUAUAAACUCCACAUUUUAAAAGAAAGACGGCCACAGCCACCAGCCCUUCCUGGAAACAUCAUCAAGGGCAGGAAGCCGGACUCCAGGCCACUGUCACGCUCUUCACUUCAUUAACACUUAGAGCCACACUGUGGAGAGCACACAGCUGACCCCUGAACACCACGGCGGGGUGCUGACCUGCCGGCAGUGGAAAGCCCAGGUACCGCUCAGAGUCAGCCCUUCCUACUGGCCAUUCCUCUGCAUCCGGGCUCAGCAUCUUUGGAUGCGCCGGCUGUGGAUGGCCCAGUGCUGUGUAUAGUCCUGACAUUUUUUUUUUUUUCCUUUUUCCAGGGAUGCACCUGUGGCAUAUGGAGGUUCCCAGGCUAGGGGUUGAGUCAGAGCUGUAGCUGCUGGCCUGCACCACAGCCACAGCAAUGCCAGAUCUGAGACGCGUCUGUGACCUACACCACAGCUCACGGCAACGCUGGAUCCUUAACCCACUGAGCAAGGCCAGGGAUUAACUCUUGACCUCCUAGUUGGAUAUGUUACUGCUAAGCCACAAUGGGAACUCCAACUAAGAUUCUUUUAAAUUACUUUCGUUGCUAUUAGAUUGUCGUCAACUACUUUAGUUAACUUAUUUUCAUAUAGUAAACUUGCUAUUUUUUGUCUAGGUAAAUCUUAUCAAAUGUCAACACUAUUCUUUUUUUUUUUUUUCUUUUCUUUU